RNAcentral lists this ribosomal RNA (462 nucleotides) under uncultured bacterium. Its description in RNAcentral is "partial 16S ribosomal RNA". It matches the Rfam family "Bacterial small subunit ribosomal RNA", at positions 28 to 507 of the family's 1533-position model. The record is from RNAcentral.
GAUGAACGCUGACAGAAUGCUUAACACAUGCAAGUCAUUGGCGAAGCUGCGCUUGCGCAGUCUAGCCAAGGCGGACGGGUGAGUAACGCGUAAGGAACUUGCCCUGCAGACAGGGAUAACAGACGGAAACGACUGAUAACACCUGGUAUUGUCAGGCUGGCGCAUGCCGGCCUGAUGAAAGGAGACGCUGCAGGAGAGCCUUGCGUCCUAUUAGCUAGUUGGUGGGGUAACGGCCCACCAAGGCGAUGAUAGGUAGCCGGCCUGAGAGGGUGAACGGCCACAAGGGGACUGAGAUACGGCCCUUACUCCUACGGGAGGCAGCAGUGGGGAAUAUUGGACAAUGGGGGCAACGCUGAUCCAGCAAUUCUGUGUGCACGAAGAAGGUUUUCGGAUUGUAAAGUGCUUUCAGCAGGGAAGAAGAAAGUGACGGUACCUGCAGAAGAAGCGACGGCUAAAUACGUG